This 349-nucleotide long non-coding RNA is filed under the name Equus caballus (horse). RNAcentral's name for it is "lncRNA (ENSECAG00000045226.1)". The record is from RNAcentral. Lineage: Eukaryota; Metazoa; Chordata; Mammalia; Perissodactyla; Equidae.
CACAGAGUCAAAACCAGAACUUCCAUCACCUGAGGUCUACGAGGAGGAUCUGAAAGAUCAACCUCUAGAAGAACCUAAUCUGGAACUCUUUACAGAUGGCAGCAGCUUCAUGGACCAACGUAGGAGACAUGCCACGUACGCAGUUGGAACCUUACAAGACACUCUAGAGGCCAAGGAAUAUGACAACCUCCAGAAAGAAAAAUUCUGCAUUGGUAUACAUCACAAAUGACAGAAGAAAGAGACAACGUGGUGGCGGCUGGUCAACAUCCCUCAACCCCCUCCUUCCCAGCCCAUUUCCCCUAUGAACUGCCUCAAGAUUCUGCAUGGUUCUCUGGGACACUAGUCCACC